AAAAGUUGGAAGGGGGGAAACACCCGCUGCCAUUCUGAACACGGAAGUUAAGCCCUUCAGCGCCUAUGGUACUGCAGAGGGGACUCUGUGGGAGAGUAGGUCGUUGC
RNAcentral lists this ribosomal RNA (107 nucleotides) under bacterium. The record is from RNAcentral.